RNAcentral lists this ribosomal RNA (439 nucleotides) under uncultured bacterium. RNAcentral describes it as "partial 16S ribosomal RNA". It matches the Rfam family "Bacterial small subunit ribosomal RNA", at positions 338 to 795 of the family's 1533-position model. The record is from RNAcentral.
CCUACGGGGGGCAGCAGUGGGGAAUAUUGCACAAUGGGGGAAACCCUGAUGCAGCGACGCCGCGUGAGUGAAGAAGUAUUUCGGUAUGUAAAGCUCUAUCAGCAGGGAAGAAAAUGACGGUACCUGAUUAAGAAGCCCCGGCUAACUACGUGCCAGCAGCCGCGGUAAUACGUAGGGGGCAGGCGUUAUCCGGAUUUACUGGUGUAAAGGGAGCGUAGACGGCAGCACAAGUCUGGAGUGAAAUGCCGGGGCUCAACCCCGGAACUGCUUUGGAAACUGUGCAGCUAGAGUGCAGGAGAGGUAAGUGGAAUUCCUAGUGUAGCGGUGAAAUGCGUAGAUAUUAGGAGGAACACCAGUGGCGAAGGCGGCUUACUGGACUGUAACUGACGUUGAGGCUCGAAAGCGUGGGGAGCAAACAGGAUUAGAUACCCGAGUAGUC